CCCCGCAGGCGCCGCCUCCCUGGCGCCUGCCUGUCUGGCCUCAGACCCGAAGGGAAUGCGACCUCUUGGUCCUCUCUCAGACUUGAGGCCCCCAGGGGAACGUGCCAUCACAGCGCAAAGUCCUCUAUGCCUUGCCUUUAGAGUCUCCAGCGUCAUUGCUGUGUGAGGUCUGCUACUUCAUGGGAACGUGCUGUUGCAGCG
Lemur catta (Ring-tailed lemur) is the source of this 201-nucleotide long non-coding RNA. RefSeq lists it as uncharacterized. NCBI's taxonomy places the organism in Eukaryota, Metazoa, Chordata, Mammalia, Primates, Lemuridae. The record is from RefSeq and is a predicted model, not a curated record. The transcript is spliced from 3 exons.